This 450-nucleotide ribosomal RNA is filed under the name uncultured bacterium. Its description in RNAcentral is "partial 16S ribosomal RNA". It matches the Rfam family "Bacterial small subunit ribosomal RNA", at positions 354 to 796 of the family's 1533-position model. The record is from RNAcentral.
GUGGGGAAUAUUGGACAAUGGGCGAAAGCCUGAUCCAGCCAUGCCGCGUGUGUGAAGAAGGUCUUCGGAUUGUAAAGCACUUUAAGUUGGGAGGAAGGGCAGUAAGUUAAUACCUUGCUGUUUUGACGUUACCGACAGAAUAAGCACCGGCUAACUUCGUGCCAGCAGCCGCGGUAAUACGAAGGGUGCAAGCGUUAAUCGGAAUUACUGGGCGUAAAGCGCGCGUAGGUGGUUUUGUAAGUUGGAGGUGAAAUCCCCGGGCUCAAACUGGGAACUGCCUCAAAAACUGCAUGACUAGAGUACGGUAGAGGGUAGUGGAAUUUCCUGUGUAGCGGUGAAAUGCGUAGAUAUAGGAAGGAACACCAGUGGCGAAGGCGACUACCUGGACUGAUACUGACACUGAGGUGCGAAAGCGUGGGGAGCAAACAGGAUUAGAUACCCUAGUAGUCC